GCACUGGCAGUUCAAUGGUAGAACUCUCGCCUUCCAUGCCGGAGACCCAGGUUCAAUUCCGGGCCACUGUA
Molecule: transfer RNA, 71 nt
Filed under: Loxodonta africana (African savanna elephant)
Lineage: Eukaryota; Metazoa; Chordata; Mammalia; Proboscidea; Elephantidae
Rfam family: tRNA
About the family: Transfer RNA (tRNA) molecules are approximately 80 nucleotides in length. Their secondary structure includes four short double-helical elements and three loops (D, anti-codon, and T loops). Further hydrogen bonds mediate the characteristic L-shaped molecular structure. tRNAs have two regions of fundamental functional importance: the anti-codon, which is responsible for specific mRNA codon recognition, and the 3' end, to which the tRNAs corresponding amino acid is attached (by aminoacyl-tRNA synthetases). tRNAs cope with the degeneracy of the genetic code in two manners: having more than one tRNA (with a specific anti-codon) for a particular amino acid; and 'wobble' base-pairing, i.e. permitting non-standard base-pairing at the 3rd anti-codon position.
Source: Rfam by way of RNAcentral